AUUGAACGCUGGCGGCAGGCCUAACACAUGCAAGUCGAGCGGAUGAAGGGAGCUUGCUCCUGGAUUCAGCGGCGGACGGGUGAGUAAUGCCUAGGAAUCUGCCUGGUAGUGGGGGAUAACGUCCGGAAACGGGCGCUAAUACCGCAUACGUCCUGAGGGAGAAAGUGGGGGAUCUUCGGACCUCACGCUAUCAGAUGAGCCUAGGUCGGAUUAGCUAGUUGGUGGGGUAAAGGCCUACCAGGGCGACGAUCCGUAACUGGUCUGAGAGGAUGAUCAGUCACACUGGAACUGAGACACGGUCCAGACCCCUACGGGAGGCAGCAGUGGGGAAUAUUGGACAAUGGGCGAAAGCCUGAUCCAGCCAUGCCGCGUGUGUGAAGAAGGUCUUCGGAUUGUAAAGCACUUUAAGUUGGGAGGAAGGGCAGUAAGUUAAUACCUUGCUGUUUUGACGUUACCAACAGAAUAAGCACCGGCUAACUUCGUG
RNAcentral lists this ribosomal RNA (484 nucleotides) under uncultured bacterium. RNAcentral's name for it is "partial 16S ribosomal RNA". It matches the Rfam family "Bacterial small subunit ribosomal RNA", at positions 30 to 507 of the family's 1533-position model. The record is from RNAcentral.